RNAcentral lists this ribosomal RNA (332 nucleotides) under uncultured bacterium. RNAcentral's name for it is "bacterial SSU rRNA". It matches the Rfam family "Bacterial small subunit ribosomal RNA", at positions 568 to 898 of the family's 1533-position model. The record is from RNAcentral.
UGCGUAGGCGGUGUGGUAAGUCUGGUGUGAAACCUCCAGGCUCAACUUGGAGCUGGCAUCAGAAACUGCCGUGCUAGAGUGCGGGAGAGGAGAGUAGAAUUCCCGGUGUAGCGGUGAAAUGCGUAGAUAUCGGGAGGAAUACCGGUGGCGAAAGCGGCUCUCUGGACCGCAACUGACGCUGAGGCACGAAAGCCAGGGGAGCAAACAGGAUUAGAUACCCUGGUAGUCCUGGCCGUAAACGAUGAACACUUGGUAUAGCGGGUAUCGAACCCCGCUGUGCCGGAGCUAACGCGUUAAGUGUUCCGCCUGGGGAGUACGGUCGCAAGGCUGAA